Molecule: ribosomal RNA, 497 nt
Filed under: uncultured bacterium
Lineage: Bacteria
Description: partial 16S ribosomal RNA
Rfam family: Bacterial small subunit ribosomal RNA
Source: RNAcentral
GAUGAACGCUGGCGGCGUGCCUAAUACAUGCAAGUCGAGCGAACGGACGAGAAGCUUGCUUCUCUGAUGUUAGCGGCGGACGGGUGAGUAACACGUGGAUAACCUACCUAUAAGACUGGGAUAACUUCGGGAAACCGGAGCUAAUACCGGAUAAUCUUUUGAACCGCAUGGUUCAAAAGUGAAAGACGGUCUUGCUGUCACUUAUAGAUGGAUCUGCGCUGCAUUAGCUAGUUGGUAAGGUAACGGCUUACCAAGGCAACGAUGCAUAGCCGACCUGUGAGGGUGAUAGGCCACACUGGAACUGAGCCGCGGUCCAGACUCCUACGGGAGGCAGCAGUAGGGAAUCUUCCGCAAUGGGCGAAAGCCUGACGGAGCAACGCCGCGUGAGUGAUGAAGGUCUCCGGAUCGUAAAACUCUGUUACUAGGGAAGAACAUAUGUGUAAGUAACUGUGCAGAUCUUGACGGUAACUAAUCAGAAAGCAACGGCUAACUACGUG